Molecule: ribosomal RNA, 207 nt
Filed under: uncultured bacterium
Lineage: Bacteria
Description: partial 16S ribosomal RNA
Rfam family: Bacterial small subunit ribosomal RNA
Source: RNAcentral
CUCGUAGGCGGUUUGUCGCGUCUGUCGUGAAAGCCCACGGCUUAACCGUGGGUCUGCGGUGGAUACGGGCAGACUAGAGGCAGGUAGGGGAGAAUGGAAUUCCCGGUGUAGCGGUGAAAUGCGCAGAUAUCGGGAGGAACACCGGUGGCGAAGGCGGUUCUCUGGGCCUGUACUGACGCUGAGGAGCGAAAGCGUGGGGAGCGAACA